UCGGACUGUUUCCAACGCGCUGUUGUCUCCGCUUGUAACAUUGAUUUGGUUUUGCGCGAAAAUCAUUCGCUAUCGCGGUUAUCAAAAAGGCCUGGCGUGCACUCCAAGCGACGCGCCUGCGUUAGCGGUCGUUAUUCCACUGGUGCGUCAAACUGCUUCGGCACCCCGAUAAAUCUGCCGUUGGCCACUGUUGCCCCCCCCUCCCCCUCGUUUUUCACUCAACGUAAGCGCACUACGGUACCUGACCCAGCAACCCAGCCGCCAUGGGAGAGAAGCAGUCGAAGGGGUACUGGCAGGAGGACGAGGAUGCGCCGGCAUGCAACGGGUGCGGCUGCGUCUUUUCCACCACGGUGCGCCGCCACCACUGCCGCAACUGCGGCUACGUCUUAUGUGGUGACUGCUCGCGGCACCGGGCUGCCAUUCCGAUGCGGGGCAUAACGGAACCAGAGCGCGUCUGUGACGCGUGCUAUCUUGCUCUACGCAACAGCAACAUGGCAGGGAGCAGUCUCAGCAAGGGAGGUAUGGUGCCCAUCAUCAACCCAAGUGAAGCGGCCAAUCGACCAGCUGCGUGGGCGGCAGGCGGCACCGCCGGCGGUCCAUCAGCCGACCCGAGAGUGUCGGAUGCAGCCGGUGUCGUGGCUGAAGCGCAGCCAUCGAGUACCGCGCCAGAGCUGACCGAGGAGCAGCGAAAGGCGGAAGAAUACUACCAUAACCUGUACGGCGGUGGCGCCGGUGAUCAUGGCGACAACGACGCCGCAGGGACUGCCGGGGCUCACCAGGGGACGAUCAGCCCGGAGGCGCUGGAGAAGGAGCUGCUCAUCCAGCGCUGGAACACGGUGCGGCAGGCCACCGUCUACGUUGACAUUCUCGUGCAGCAGUCGGAGCGCGUGGAGCCGGAUACGGCGGUGGAGUACAGUCGUGAGACGGAGGCUCUCACCCUGGAGCCGGAGCUACCCAUCAACCAGCUCGGCACUCGGAUGUUGCCGUUGCCGCCGCCCACCACCGAUAGCGCUCGCUACCUCGUAGAGCCAGUGACGAUCAUUGGAAUGCCCAGUACCACACUGGAAAAGGUGGCCGCGGAUCUGAAACAGCGGCUUGCGACGCGGAUGCCAACGCAUGCAUUAACACGUGAGCCGGCCGACAACUUUGUGGGCUAUUAGAGGUGGCGGCGUGCUUUCUUCUGCUUCGUUCCCUUUUUUUCUGGUGGCACACAUUCAUAAUGUGAUGUACGUGUUUAGGUGAAAGGCGCCGAUGAGGGGAAGCAACAGCAUGCACUGUUGCGCGUGCCGUUGAGUGUGUGUAUGUGCGUAUGCGUGCGUGCGUGUCGCGCUUUUUCUUCUUGACCCUCUCCCCUCCCGUCGCCGUGUUUCCAAGGUGCGUUGUCUUCUGCUUGGUGCUCCGUCUCUCCCUAUUGUGCUAGUGAUAAG
This 1427-nucleotide unclassified non-coding RNA is filed under the name Leishmania donovani. Its description in RNAcentral is "gene:LdHU3.35.4650(CDS-product:zinc_finger_protei n_putative)". The record is from RNAcentral. Lineage: Eukaryota; Euglenozoa; Kinetoplastea; Trypanosomatida; Trypanosomatidae.